Molecule: transfer RNA, 73 nt
Filed under: Aphanizomenon flos-aquae WA102
Lineage: Bacteria; Bacillati; Cyanobacteriota; Cyanophyceae; Nostocales; Aphanizomenonaceae
Description: tRNA-Thr
Rfam family: tRNA
About the family: Transfer RNA (tRNA) molecules are approximately 80 nucleotides in length. Their secondary structure includes four short double-helical elements and three loops (D, anti-codon, and T loops). Further hydrogen bonds mediate the characteristic L-shaped molecular structure. tRNAs have two regions of fundamental functional importance: the anti-codon, which is responsible for specific mRNA codon recognition, and the 3' end, to which the tRNAs corresponding amino acid is attached (by aminoacyl-tRNA synthetases). tRNAs cope with the degeneracy of the genetic code in two manners: having more than one tRNA (with a specific anti-codon) for a particular amino acid; and 'wobble' base-pairing, i.e. permitting non-standard base-pairing at the 3rd anti-codon position.
Source: RNAcentral
GCCUAGUUAGUUCAUCGGCUAGAACGGCAGUUUUGUAAACUGCAUGUGGCGGGUUCGAUUCCUGCACUAGGCU